Molecule: ribosomal RNA, 1439 nt
Filed under: metagenome
Description: bacterial SSU rRNA
Rfam family: Archaeal small subunit ribosomal RNA
Source: RNAcentral
ACCCGUUGAUCCUGCGGGAGGUUGCUGCUAUUGGGAUACCACUUAGCCAUGCAAGUCAAGGGGUUCUUCGGAACACCGGCAAAAUGCUCAGUAACACGUUGAUAAUCUAACCUUAAGUCUUUGAUACCCUUGGGAAACUGAGGUUAAACAAGGAUAGGAAAUUGAGGCUGGAAUGCGCUUUUUCUUAAAUCUACGGAGCUUAAGGAUGAGUCAGCGGCUGAUUAGGCAGUUGGUGAGGUAAUGGCUCACCAAACCUAUGAUCAGUAGGGGUCUUGAGAGAGAUAGCCCCGAGAAGGGCACUGAGAUAAGGGCCCUAGCCCUACGGGGUGCAGCAGGCGGGAAAACUUUACAAUGUACGAAAGUGCGAUAAGGGUAUCCUAAGUGCUUACACUUAUGUGUAAGCUUUUGCCAAGAGCAAACAUCUUGGCGAAUAAGUGAUGGGCAAGACUGGUGCCAGCCGCCGCGGUAACACCAGCGUCACAAGUGGGAACCAUAUUUAUUGGGUCUAAAGCGUCCGUAGCUGGUCUUACAGAUUCUUUGUGAAAUUGUUAAAGUCAACUUAACAGCGUGCAAAGAACACCUGCAAGACUUGGGACUGGGAGGAGUUAGAGGUAUUCCAGGGGAAGCGGUAAAAUGUUAUAAUCCCUGGAGGACCACCGAUGGCGAAGGCAUCUAACUAGAACAGGUCCGACAGUGAGGGACGAAAGCCAGGGGAUCAAAACGGAUUAGAUACCCGAGUAGUCCUGGCUGUAAACGUUGCAGAUUAGGCGUUGCGCAAUCUACAUGAUUGUGCAGUGUCGUAGCGGAGGCGUUAGAUCUGCCACCUGGGAAGUACGGCCGCAAGACUGAAACUUAAAGGAAUUGGCGGGGAGACACCACAAGGGGUGCUACGGGCGGUUUAAUUUGAUUCUACACGGGAAAUCUCACUAGAAGCAACGGCAAAAUGAAAGUCAGGCUGAAGACCUUGCUUGAUGAGCCGAGGGGUAUUGCAUGGCGGCCAUCAGCUCGUGCUGUAAGGUGUCCUGUUAAGUCAGGCAACGAGCGAGACCUGCAUCUACAAUUGCUAGCAACAUCUCCGGAUGGAUUGAGCACAUUGUGGGGACUGCCUUGGAAACGAGGAGGAGGCGCAGGCCAUGGUACGUCAGUAUGGUCCUAAUCUUCUAGGCUACACGCGCGUUGCAAUGGUGAAGACAAUGGGAUACAACUCCGAAAGGAGGAGUUAAUCCUCGAAACUUCACCUUAGUUCAGAUCGAGCUCUGCAACUCGGGCUCGUGAAGCCGGAAUCCCUAGUAAUCGGACGUCAACAGCGUCCGGUGAAUAUGUCCCUGUCUCUUGCACACACCGCCCGUCAAACCACUCGAGCAUAGUUUAAAUGAGAAUCAACUUUUUGGCUGGUUCGAAUUUGAGCUAAGUAAGAUGGGUUAAGUCGUCACAAGGUA